GAUGAACGCUAGCGGGAGGCUUAACACAUGCAAGUCGAAGGGCAGCACGUCUUCGGAUGGUGGCGACUGGCGAACGGGUGCGUAACGCGUAUGCAAUCUACCCUCAACAGGGGAAUAGCCCAGAGAAAUUUGGAUUAAUACCCCAUAGUAUUACAGAUUCGCAUGUUUCUGUGAUUAAAGUUCCAACGGUUGAGGAUGGGCAUGCGUGACAUUAGCUUGUUGGUGAGGUAACGGCUCACCAAGGCAACGAUGUCUAGGGGUUCUGAGAGGAUGAUCCCCCACACUGGUACUGAGACACGGACCAGACUCCUACGGGAGGCAGCAGUGAGGAAUAUUGGACAAUGGGCGCAAGCCUGAUCCAGCCAUGCCGCGUGCAGGAUGACGGUCCUAUGGAUUGUAACCUGCUUUUG
RNAcentral lists this ribosomal RNA (410 nucleotides) under uncultured bacterium. RNAcentral's name for it is "bacterial SSU rRNA". It matches the Rfam family "Bacterial small subunit ribosomal RNA", at positions 28 to 438 of the family's 1533-position model. The record is from RNAcentral.